UGUCAUACAUCUCAAAUAACAUUCCAAGCAUUGGUUUAACCUCUCAGUUUGACCAUCAAAUUGAGGGUGAUAAGCAGUGGAAAAAUUCAAAGAAGUCCCCAUCAACUUAAAAAACUCCUUCCAAAAAAGACUAGUGAAGACUUUGUCUCUGUCUAAAAUUAUUGAAAGAGGCAUAUCGUGAAGCUUAAAAAUGUUAUCAAGAAAUAAUUUGGCUACUGAUGUAGUUGAGUAUUGAUGAGAAAUAGCAAAAAAAUGUCCAUAUUUUGUAAAUCUACAGACAACCACCAGAAUGACUUUCUUCCCUCCAGAUUUGGGCAACUGCUCGAUGAAAUCCAUUGAAAUAUGCUGCCAA
Molecule: unclassified non-coding RNA, 352 nt
Filed under: Hevea brasiliensis (rubber tree)
Lineage: Eukaryota; Viridiplantae; Streptophyta; Magnoliopsida; Malpighiales; Euphorbiaceae
Source: RNAcentral